This 234-nucleotide unclassified non-coding RNA is filed under the name plant metagenome. RNAcentral's name for it is "partial contains small subunit ribosomal RNA, internal transcribed spacer 1, and 5.8S ribosomal RNA". The stretch from base 1 to 54 matches the Rfam family "Eukaryotic small subunit ribosomal RNA", at positions 1778 to 1831 of the family's 1831-position model. The record is from RNAcentral.
GAAAGUAAAAGUCGUAACAAGGUCCCCGUUGGUGAACCAGCGGAGGGAUCAUUACAGGAUCGAAAGACUCCUAUAACCCCUGUGAACUUACUACAAAUACGUUGCUUCGGCGGGUGCCCCGGGUCUCCCGGGGCGUUCAGCCCGCCGGCAGCCUUCAAAUUCUGUUUCUUUGCGUUGGCAUCUCGAGUAUACAAAAAUAAGUUAAAACUUUCAACAACGGAUCUCUUGGUUCUG